CCCCGGCAGUCAGUCGAUGAGUGAUAAGAUCCAUCGUCGAGAGGGAAACAACCCAGAUCAGCGGCUAAGGUGCCAAAAUACCGUUCAGUGGUAAGGAGGUGAAGUGACAUAGACAGUGAGGAUGUUGGCUUAGAAGCAGCCACCAUUUAAACAGUGCGUAACAGCUGACUCAUCGAGUUACUUCGCGCCGAAAAUGAUUGGCGAUAAACGGUAUACCGACGCCCUGGGUGUCUUCGGACACGGUAGGAGAGCGUAGUCUUUGCGUCGAAGCUGUUCUGUAAAGAGCGGUGGAGCGGAGACUAGCGAGAAUGCAGACAUGAGUAGCGAUAAACAAAGUGAGAAUCUUUGUCUCCGUAAACCUAAGGUUUCCUGGGCCAGGCUCGUCCUCCCAGGGUUAGCCGGGACCUAAGGCGAGGCCGAAAGGCGUAGUCGAUGGAUAACAGGUUAAUAUUCCUGUGCUAAAGCGCAAAAUGGGACGCAUGACAGUAAGGUGACACACACUAUGAUAUGUGAGUUUAGGCUUCGGCCGAAACACGUUACCCUAAGUUGUGCCGAGAAAACCGCGCAGGCCCGUACCGUAAACCGACACAGGUAGGUGAGUCGAAUAGACUAAGGAGCGCGAGAGAAAUCUCUCCAAGGAACUCGGCAAAUUAGCCCCGUAACUUCGGAAGAAGGGGUGCCCAUUUCGGUGGGCCACAGUAAAUUGGGACUGGCGACUGUUUACCAAAAACACAGCUCUCUGCAAAGUCGUGAAGACGACGUAUAGGGAGUGACACGUGACCAAUGCGAAAAGAUUAAGGUGACUUGUUAGCCCUUGAGGCGAAGCUCGGAGCCCAAGUCCUCGUGAAUGUCGGCCGUAACUAUAACGGUCCUAAGGUAGCGAAAUUCCUUGUCGGGUAAGUUCCGACCUGCACGAAUCGUGCAACGACCGGUCCGCUGUCUCGGAGAGAAUCUCGGCGAAGUUGUAAUUGCGGUGAAGAUGCCGCAUACCCGCAGUAGGACGGAAAGACCCUGUACACCUUUACUAUAAGCAAGUAUUGGCUUUUGAUUAGUGAUGCGUAGCGUAGGUGGGAGACUUUGAAGUGAUGGCUUAGGUUGUCAUGGAGUCGAAAUGUGAAACACCACUCUUUACUACUUAGAAUUCUAACAAUGAUUUCUCUGAAGCGAGACAUUGAACAGUGCUUGCGGGUUAGUUUGACUGGGGCGGUUUCCUCCCAAAAAGUAACGGAGGAGCACUAAGGUACCUUCAGCAUGGUUAGCAACCAUGCGUAGAGCGUAUGCGUAGAAGGGUGCUUGACUGUGAGACCUACAAGUCGAGCAGGUACGAAAGUAGGUGCAAAUGAUCCGGUGGUAGAACGUG
Molecule: ribosomal RNA, 1360 nt
Filed under: marine metagenome
Description: bacterial LSU rRNA
Rfam family: Bacterial large subunit ribosomal RNA
Source: RNAcentral